UGUGUGUCUGUUUUUGUGUUCAAGCGUGUGUAUGUAUGUGUAUUUGUGUAUGUGUCUCUGAGCACGUUUGCCUAUGCACGUGUGCCUGUGUGUCUCUGUGUGUGUCUGUGUGUAUGCACGUGCGUGCAUGGGUCUGUGUGUGUGCAUGCAUGUCUGUUUAUGUGGUGUGUGCGUCCAUGUGCUUUGGCCGGAAGCUGUCAGGCGGUUUGGGCUGGCUGGGCUGAGACACGCCUGAGCCCCGCAGCAGCCUAAUCAUGCCUGACAGAUUGAUUAGGGGAGAGAGUUGCUGUGUCUCUAUUGCAACAGACAGGGCACGCGUGUCUCCACUUAACCUCUCCCAUCUCACAGGAAGGAAGGGGAUGCAGGCUGCACGGAGGAGAGACUGGGCAUGGAGGGCGAGCAGGAGAUCUGCAAGGAGACCGGAAGAGCAGCAGCGGGGAUUUAAAGAUGACUGACUGACCAGUGUAAAAAACUCUGUGUGGGCCGGGGACGGUGGCGCACACCUGUCAUCCCAGCGGUUUGGGAGGCUGAGGCAGGAGGAUUGCAAAUUCAAAGCCAGCCUCAGCAAUUUAGUGGGGCCUUAAGCAACUCAGUGAGACCCUGUCUGUAAUAAAAUAAACAAUAGGGCUGGGAUGUGACUCGGUGGUUGAGUGUCCCUGAGUUCAGUCCCUGGUAACAAAAAAGGAAAAAAAGAAGACGGUGUCUAUGUCUAAUCUCCGAUGCACAGCUCCGGAGUGCUCAGGCGGGUGAGGAUCUGGACUGCUCCGGCACAAUGGUAACAAUCGUUGUCACGGGGGAACAGGAAUUGGAAAUUUUUUAUUUAUAUCUCCUGCCUUCUCUCUGUUUUAUAAUCAGAACAAUAGCUGUCCCUCUCCUAGAAGUGAAAUGCCAGGUUUUAAAUACAUGCCGUUUCCCAAUUUGGUAAAUAAAAUACACGUAGCCAAACGACUGAAAAAAGAAAAUUAAAGAAAAAAAAAAAAAAGGUGGCAGAGUGGCUUCGUUUUAAAACCAUUCCUGAAUCUCUCUGCCUUUUCUUUUACCGGCUCCUUCCAGAUCCACUGCGUCCCCUCCGCUGGGGGCCCAGGUGGCGUGGGUGGAGGGGAGAGCACCAGGAAGGCCUUCCUUCCACCCCAGUCUCCUCGCCCACCAGGAGACUCCCCAAGACGAAGGUGACAGCGAUGUGCUGUGAGCUCUGGGUCCUGGGCUUUCGGAGUGACAGCACCACAUCAGCUCCACUGCUGGUGGCCUGGCCGACUCUGCCCCUCACUUUGUGCCUCGGCUUGUGCCCACCCUCCUCCCAGGGGCCCUGGGUGCAGCUGGUGCCCCAUGCACUUGGACAGUGCCCAGCGGUUCCCCAUGGGGCACUGCUGGCUCCUGCAUUAGGGGGUGUGUGACAUUUCUGCCCCCAAGGGACUGGCUGCUUAGAAGGUCCCAGACGGUAGAUUUCCAAAGACUCCUCCCCACACGUCCCACCCCUCGACCACACAGAGGCUGUUCUGCCCCCACUGCUCCACCCCACGGAGGCCAGCUGCCGUGACUUCAUCUCCCCUCCUGAGGACUCAGGAAAGGGCAGCUGCUGUGGCUGGGUGGAGCCCACCCCCCAAAAUCACGCAAGGCCUGACCCCAGUACCUGUGCACGCAGCCUGGUCUCAUCAGUUACCAUGUCGUCAUUGGUGUGGGCCCAGAUCAAUGUCACUGCUGUCCUUAUAAGAAGGGGAGACAGAGGCACAGACACAGACACACACAGGGUCAGAGAAAAAGCUGAUACGAAGGCUGGAGCUUCGCUGCCAUGAGGCAGGAAACAGCGGGCUGUGAAGAUAGAGGAGGCAAGAGAGGUCCCUCCCCUGCACAAUCCUGAGGGAGCACAGCCCGGCGGAAGUCUCCAUGUCAGACUUCUAGCCUUCAGACUGUGAGGCAAUAAAUUCUGUUGAUCUUGUGCUACUUUGUUAUGGCCACCCUGGGAAAUGAAUAAGGCAUGUGAUUAGCCCUAGGAAACUAACACAGCAUGUAAUACAUUCUGGUCAAUAACAUUAGAGAAAAAAGUCCACUAGGGAAAUGUUUCCCACUAAUAUGAGGAGACUCAAAAGAAACAAUGAUUUAUCAGGUGAUGGUGUUGCUGUGUCUGCACGUGAUGACGGGAACUGCUGCAGCCAUCUUGUGAACGUGAGACAAGGCAGAUAGUAUAAGCCUGAAAAAAGAAAAAAAAAUUGGAAAGAAUGUGAAUCAUUGAUGAUUAUUGUUAAGGAAGUAGCCAGCCCUAUCACCACUUGGCCUUGGGACUUCUUGUUAUGUGAGAUAAUAAAUAUACUUAUUAUUAAAAAUCA
Long non-coding RNA from Ictidomys tridecemlineatus (thirteen-lined ground squirrel), 2324 nucleotides. RefSeq lists it as uncharacterized. Lineage: Eukaryota; Metazoa; Chordata; Mammalia; Rodentia; Sciuridae. The record is from RefSeq and is a predicted model, not a curated record.